GUAAACUCUCCUUCAAGUGUAUAUACAAGACAAAAAACGAGCUCUCCUCGGAAGAAGGGUUGUGUUAAGACUAGCUCUAGAAUGAGCAGCACGGAUGUCAUGGAAGUGCCAGCAUGGAAGCGAAAACGCAGGCAUCGCAGGAGAAGGGCGCCGGGAUAAAUUUAAUGGGAGAAAGUUGAUCAAGCAGAGCGUGAAACUAGCGCGGCUAGUUAGCUAGCAGGCUAAGUCAUCAGCAGGAAAACUGGAAAGGCGCCAGCGUGGGCUUGGUAGAAUUCAUGGCAUCGACGAUGAGACCCUGAAAAGACCCCGCCGGGAUUCUACCUGUGGGGCAAGGAUUUGCCAAAAUGGCCCCCAGAUCAGUUGACCUGACCCCCAACGCGCCAGAAAAAAAGGCUGUUUCUGAGCUGCGGGCUCUCUUCCAUUUGAAUCGCGGCUCUGUGGAGCCAUCAGAGGCGAGUGACGAUCUUCUCGCUCCGGCUGUGUUGAAAUGGCACCUUGAGUGACAUCGGCGCAAAGGUCAGAGAGAGGCUUGAGGGAAACGGGAAGGAUUUCGGUCCUGCCGGGGGCGACAGGCUCUCUGUGCCAUCCACUUACACAAACGGCAGGAUCAGCGCUCCACACAAGAAUAAUUACAAGAUAAUGGGUAGUAAUGCUGCCCGAUCUGUCCCGAUUAUCUCCUGGCAGCAAUCGGCACAGCGCCAUCUGGUGCCAGAUCACGGGGCAGCGGCUGCUCUGCCACAUGAAAAGGAGGUGGGCUUAGGUUUAAUCUCACACCCCAUGCUGUUAUUGACUGUCUGCACGGUGGUGUAUGCAAAAGCGAGCGCGCUUGAGCAUGUGUGCGCAUGCCCCUGAGAUGGGCGACUCAUAUCAC
Syngnathoides biaculeatus (alligator pipefish) is the source of this 871-nucleotide long non-coding RNA. RefSeq lists it as uncharacterized. The record is from RefSeq and is a predicted model, not a curated record. The transcript has 4 exons. NCBI's taxonomy places the organism in Eukaryota, Metazoa, Chordata, Actinopteri, Syngnathiformes, Syngnathidae.